UACGGGAGGCAGCAGUGGGGAAUAUUGCACAAUGGGCGCAAGCCUGAUGCAGCCAUGCCGCGUGUAUGAAGAAGGCCUUCGGGUUGUAAAGUACUUUUCAGUCGUGAGGAAGGUGUUAAGGUUAAUAACCUUAGCAAUUGACGUUAGCGACAGAAGAAGCACCGGCUAACUCCGUGCCAGCAGCCGCGGUAAUACGGAGGGUGCGAGCGUUAAUCGGAAUUACUGGGCGUAAAGGGCACGCAGGCGGUUAAUUAAGUUGGAUGUGAAAUCCCCGGGCUUAACCUGGGAAUGGCAUUCAAGACUGGUUAGCUAGAGUCUUGUAGAGGGGGUAGAAUUCCAUGUGUAGCGGUGAAAUGCGUAGAGAUGUGGAGGAAUACCGGUGGCGAAGGCGGCCCCUGGACAAAGGACUGACGCUCAUGUGCGAAAGCGUGGGGAGCGAAAC
Molecule: ribosomal RNA, 442 nt
Filed under: uncultured bacterium
Lineage: Bacteria
Description: bacterial SSU rRNA
Rfam family: Bacterial small subunit ribosomal RNA
Source: RNAcentral